GAUGAACGCUGGCGGCGUGCAUAAAACAUGCAAGUCGAGCGCGGGAUGGUGACUUCGGUUGCCAUCUCUAGCGGCGAACGGGUGAGUAACACGUGAGCAACCUACCUUUGAGUCCGGAAUAGCCCUGGGAAACCAGGAUUAAUGCCGGAUGUGGUCACGACGAGACAUCUCGAUGUGAGUAAAGGGGAAACCCGCUCAAUGACGGGCUCGCGGCUUAUUAGCUUGUUGGUGGGGUAACGGCCUACCAAGGCGAUGAUGGGUAGCUGGUCUGAGAGGACGAUCAGCCACACUGGGACUGAGACACGGCCCAGACUCCUACGGGAGGCAGCAGUUAGGAAUUUUCCGCAAUGGGCGAAAGCCUGACGGAGCAACGCCGCGUGAGUGAUGAAGACCCUAGGGUUGUAAAGCUCUGUCGGAGGGGAAGAAAUAAUGACGGUACCCUCCAAGAAAGCCCCGGCUAACUACGUGCCAGCAGCCGCCGUAACAC
This 487-nucleotide ribosomal RNA is filed under the name uncultured bacterium. RNAcentral describes it as "bacterial SSU rRNA". It matches the Rfam family "Bacterial small subunit ribosomal RNA", at positions 28 to 526 of the family's 1533-position model. The record is from RNAcentral.